CCAAAAUGCAAAUUUGGAGACGUACCCUAACAGGUGCCGGGGCUUCUCCCGU
RNAcentral lists this transfer RNA (52 nucleotides) under Cyrtodactylus philippinicus. Its description in RNAcentral is "partial tRNA-Cys". Lineage: Eukaryota; Metazoa; Chordata; Lepidosauria; Squamata; Gekkonidae. The record is from RNAcentral.